Molecule: non-coding RNA, 115 nt
Organism: Triticum aestivum (bread wheat)
Lineage: Eukaryota; Viridiplantae; Streptophyta; Magnoliopsida; Poales; Poaceae
Source: Rfam
CAAUUACUCCCUCCGUUCGGAAUUAUUUGUCGCAGAAAUGGAUAUAUCUAGAUGUAUUUUAGUUCUAGAUACAUCCAUAUCUAAGACAAGUAAUUCCGAACGAAGGGAGUAUCAC